CACGUAGGGGGCAAGCGUUGUCCGGAUUUAUUGGGCGUAAAGAGCUCGUAGGCGGCUUAGUAAGUCGGGUGUGAAACCUCCAGGCUCAACCUGGAGACGCCACCCGAUACUGCUGUGGCUAGAGUCCGGUAGGGGAGCGUGGAAUUCCUGGUGUAGCGGUGAAAUGCGCAGAUAUCAGGAGGAACACCGGUGGCGAAGGCGGGUCUCUGGGCAGUAACUGACGCUGAGACGCGAAAGCGUGGGGAGCAAACAGG
RNAcentral lists this ribosomal RNA (254 nucleotides) under uncultured bacterium. RNAcentral describes it as "partial 16S ribosomal RNA". It matches the Rfam family "Bacterial small subunit ribosomal RNA", at positions 524 to 776 of the family's 1533-position model. The record is from RNAcentral.